AUGAUCUUGACUCCUCCUUACAAAGACUUAAUUGCUCAAGCACACAACGGUUCUGGAAAGACUACCUGUUUUGUGCUUGGGAUGUUGAGUCGUGUUGAUGUGAACUUGAAGGCUCCUCAGGCGUUUUGCAUAUGUCCUACAAGGGAGUUAGCCAUGCAGAAUAUUGAGGUUCUUAAGAAAAUGGGAAAAUACACUGGGAUAACUUCAGAAUGUGCUAUUCCUGCUGACAGUGCUAACUAUGUGCCUAUGUCAAAGCGACCACCAAUAACUGCGCAAGUUGUGAUCGGAACUCCUGGCACAAUAAAGAAAUGGA
This 313-nucleotide unclassified non-coding RNA is filed under the name Hevea brasiliensis (rubber tree). Lineage: Eukaryota; Viridiplantae; Streptophyta; Magnoliopsida; Malpighiales; Euphorbiaceae. The record is from RNAcentral.